Pseudomonas aeruginosa PAO1 is the source of this 138-nucleotide small RNA. It matches the Rfam family "Psudomonas sRNA P2". The record is from Rfam. NCBI's taxonomy places the organism in Bacteria, Pseudomonadati, Pseudomonadota, Gammaproteobacteria, Pseudomonadales, Pseudomonadaceae.
CUGCGUAAACCUGUUGUCCCGGAGGAAGUGGCUGGAAAGCGAACUGCGCGAAGCGGGUCCGGCCGGCGCUGGCCGGCACCCGCAACUCGGCGCCCAGAGGCACUAAGCGCGGGGGGCGUAUGCUAGCAUGUUCUCCCU